GACGAACGCUGGCGGCGUGCUUAACACAUGCAAGUCGAACGGAAAGGCCCUGCUUUUGUGGGGUGCUCGAGUGGCGAACGGGUGAGUAACACGUGAGUAACCUGCCCUUGACUUUGGGAUAACCUCAGGAAACUGGGUCUAAUACCGGAUAUGAACUCCCGCUGCAUGGUGGGGGUUGGAAAGUUUCGGCGGUUGGGGAUGGACUCGCGGCUUAUCAGCUUGUUGGUGGGGUAGUGGCUUACCAAAGCUUUGACGGGUAGCCGGCCUGAGAGGGUGACCGGCCACAUUGGGACUGAGAUACGGCCCAGACUCCUACGGGAGGCAGCAGUGGGGAAUAUUGCACAAUGGGCGGAAGCCUGAUGCAGCAACGCCGCGUGCGGGAUGACGGCCUUCGGGUUGUAAACCGCUUUCGCCUGUGACGAAGCGUGAGUGACGGUAAUGGGUAAAGAAGCACCGGCUAACUACGUG
RNAcentral lists this ribosomal RNA (468 nucleotides) under uncultured bacterium. Its description in RNAcentral is "partial 16S ribosomal RNA". It matches the Rfam family "Bacterial small subunit ribosomal RNA", at positions 28 to 507 of the family's 1533-position model. The record is from RNAcentral.